Molecule: small nuclear RNA, 107 nt
Organism: Jaculus jaculus (lesser Egyptian jerboa)
Lineage: Eukaryota; Metazoa; Chordata; Mammalia; Rodentia; Dipodidae
Source: Ensembl
GUGCUUGCUUGGGCAGCACGUACACUAAGACUGGAAUGAUACAGAGAAGAUUAGCAUGGCCCCUGUGUAAGAAUGAUGUGCAACUUCAUGAAGUGUUCCAUAUUUUU